UAGGGUUCGAUUCUGGCUCAGGAUGAACGCUGGCGGCGUGCUUAACACAUGCAAGUCGAACGGAGCGAUGACACGGAGUCUUCGGAUGAAGUGUUAUGGCUUAGUGGCGGACGGGUGAGUAACACGUGAGCAACCUACCUUUUGCAGGGGAAUAACUCUGGGAAACCAGGGCUAAUACCGCAUGACGUGCACUUGGGGCAUCCUUUGUGCAUGAAAGGAUUAUAUCCGGCAGAAGAUGGGCUCGCGUCCGAUUAGGUAGUUGGUGAGGUAAAGGCUCACCAAGCCGACGAUCGGUAGCCGGACUGAGAGGUCGAUCGGCCACAUUGGGACUGAGACACGGCCCAGACUCCUACGGGAGGCAGCAGUGGGGAAUAUUGGGCAAUGGGCGAAAGCCUGACCCAGCGACGCCGCGUGAAGGAGGAAGGCUUUCGAGUUGUAAACUUCUUUGGGGAGGGACGAAGAUGACGGUACCUCCAGAACAAGCCACGGCUAACUACGUGCCAGCAGCCGCGGUAAUACGUAGGUGGCGAGCGUUAUCCGGAUUUACUGGGUGUAAAGGGCGCGCAGGCGGCCCUGGAAGUCAGAUGUGAAAGAUCAAGGCUUAACUUUGACAGGUCAUCUGAAACUUUGGGGCUUGAGUAUCAGAGGGGAAAGUGGAAUUCCUAGUGGAGCGGUAAAAUGCACAGAGAUUAGGAGGAACACCGGUGGCGAAGGCGACUUUCUGGCUGACAACUGACGC
RNAcentral lists this ribosomal RNA (739 nucleotides) under uncultured bacterium. RNAcentral describes it as "bacterial SSU rRNA". It matches the Rfam family "Bacterial small subunit ribosomal RNA", at positions 1 to 746 of the family's 1533-position model. The record is from RNAcentral.